AAUGGCUGCCUCAAACCGCGAUCUAAAAAUUUUUGUUCGAAAGAAGAAAAGUGCUCAGUUUCUUGGAAUAUUAAGAUUUGUGUAGAAGGGAAAUACUUGAGUCACAAAGAUUGGCUACAAAAUGCAAGUUUGAGUGUACAAUAAGCAGGGAAUUAUCUAAAUAAAGGUGAAAAAAGGGAAGUUUGACUGAACUUCACGACUGUUUCUACGACAUUUCAAUUCUAUGACAAGACGAGUGAUAUGCUGGACAGGAUGUCAUGGUUCAAUGUCCUGCUAAAGAGAAUUUGGCCAAUAUAGUGUAAAUCUACUUGGAGCAACUAGGCAACUACAUUCAAGUUUCAAUAGCCUGGUAACCCACGGCUAUGUUGAUCCUUUGUAUGCAGAGAGUUCAACCUACAGAUGGGCCGGCCAGUUUGCAUGUCCUUCACGCUUGAAGGUCGCGGGGAACAUAACGUUUAAAAUUGUCAAUGCGGUGGUGUAGAGGUUGGGUGAGGACGACACGUGUUACACCAUUAUUAAGCAGGUAUAAUAGCCGUAAGGCUUAAGAGAGGGGUCAGGGUGAGAAAAAGUCGUAUAAAACGAGAGAGAGAAAAGGCGUUUGAAAUUAGUUGAGUGAGCAUCUACGACACGGCAACAACUGCUGUACACUAUUUGUCAUCAACUGCAUUCUGCAAAGUAAUACCAGUAAGCAACCAAAUGUUAACUAUGGCGUCGUGCUGCUGUUGGAUGCUGUAUCCUUAAUGGUUGGGUCGUCCACUGGUGUACCGAUGUUUCGUGGGUAUGGUGGAUACCAAACCGCAACGCCGGCGUCUUACCACACAACAACAUCAUACGCAACAACCGGAGUACUACACCACCAAGGCCGCUGAGUAUUACACCACAACUUAUAAAGUCCCGAACUACUACAUCGUAGGCUAAAG
This is a long non-coding RNA of Daphnia pulicaria, 920 nucleotides long. RefSeq lists it as uncharacterized. The record is from RefSeq and is a predicted model, not a curated record. The transcript is spliced from 4 exons. Lineage: Eukaryota; Metazoa; Arthropoda; Branchiopoda; Diplostraca; Daphniidae.